This 305-nucleotide ribosomal RNA is filed under the name uncultured bacterium. Its description in RNAcentral is "bacterial SSU rRNA". It matches the Rfam family "Bacterial small subunit ribosomal RNA", at positions 335 to 657 of the family's 1533-position model. The record is from RNAcentral.
GUUCCUACGGGACGCAGCAGUGGGGAAUAUUGGACAAUGGGGGGAACCCUGAUCCAGCGACGCCGCGUGAGUGAAGAAGUAUUUCGGUAUGUAAAGCUCUAUCAGCAGGGAAGAAAAUGACGGUACCUGACUAAGAAGCCCCGGCUAACUACGUGCCAGCAGCCGCUGUAAUACGUAGGGGGCAAGCGUUAUCCGGAUUUACUGGGUGUAAAGGGAGCGCAGACGGCAGUGCAAGUCUGGAGUGAAAGCCCGGGGCCCAACCCCGGAACUGCUCUGGAAACUGUGCGGCUAGAGUACUGGAGGGG